RNAcentral lists this ribosomal RNA (1481 nucleotides) under freshwater metagenome. RNAcentral's name for it is "bacterial LSU rRNA". The stretch from base 1 to 1159 matches the Rfam family "Bacterial large subunit ribosomal RNA", at positions 1277 to 2925 of the family's 2925-position model. The record is from RNAcentral.
GUUUCCCAGUCACGAUAAUUAGGCAUGAGUAACGAAAAAAAGGGUGAGAUCCCCUUUCGCCGUAAGACUAAGGGUUCCUUGUUCGAUGCCAAUCAGAACAGGGUCAGCCGUGACCUAAGGGGAAGCCGAAAGGCGAACUUGAUGGCAAGCGGGUUAAUAUUCCUGCGCCUGUGCACACUAAAAAGGGGACGAAGGCAGUAAGCUGUCAGGUACUGACGGAAAAGUGCGUUGAGAGGAUGCUUAGGCUGAAUCGAGAUAGUGAAUGUCUUCCAAGAAAAGCCGAAGUGCACAGCCCGUACCGUAAACCGACACAGGUAGUCGAGGAGAGUAUCCUAAGGCGCGCGAGUGAUCCACGGUUAAGGAACUAGGCAAAAUAGCCCCGUAACUUCGGGAGAAGGGGCGCUCCUGGCAACAGGAGCCGCAGUGAAGAGGCCCAGGCGACUGUUUAACAAAAACACAGGACUCUGCGAAAUCGUAAGAUGAAGUAUAGGGUCUGACACCUGCCCGGUGCCGGAAGGUUAAGGAAGGGAGUCAUCUUCGGAGAAGCUCUUGACCGAAGCCCCGGUAAACGGCGGCCGUAACUAUAACGGUCCUAAGGUAGCGAAAUUCCUUGUCGGGUAAGUUCCGACCUGCACGAAUGGUGUAACGAUCUGGGCACUGUCUCAACCGUGAGCUCGGUGAAAUUGAAGUAUCGGUGAAGAUGCCGGUUACCCGCAACGGGACGGAAAGACCCCGUGAACCUUUACUAUAGCUUCACAUUGGUCUUGAGUAUAAGAUGUGUAGGAUAGGUGGGAGGCAAAGAAGGGCCGACGCUAGUUGGUUUGGAGCCGUCGUUGAAAUACCACCCUUUUUAUACUUAGGUUCUAACUUGCGAAAGGACAGUGUGUGGUGGGUAGUUUGACUGGGGUGGUCGCCUCCGAAAGAGUAACGGAGGCUUGCAAAGGUACCCUCAGCAUGGUUGGUAACCAUGCGCAGAGCGUAUGAGUAGAAGGGUGCUUGACUGCGAGACGGACGCGUCGAACAGGGACGAAAGUCGGCUCAAGUGAUCCGGUGGUUCCGCAUGGAAGGGCCAUCGCUCAAAGGAUAAAAGGUACUCCGGGGAUCAGGCUGAAGGCAACGCUCGCGCCGUAGUUGUUAGUUUAAGUUUAAGUUUAAGUUUAAGUUUAAGUUGAAGAGAGGCUGGGAGCGGAAAGGCUCCCGGCCUUUCUUUUUUAUGGAAGAUGGAAGAUCGCAGAUGGGAGAUGGGGAAUUUUUCGUGAACGUGAAGGUGAAGGUGAACGAAGGCGGCGAACUGGGCGAUUGAGGCUAGGUAGGGGCCGGGAUAAUAAACGCUAGCAAGGUCCCAGCUGAAAAGGCCAAGUCUACUGCUUCUCCAGAGAGGACUGGCCAGAAGUAGGAGAAGAUGAGCUUGAUUCCCAGGGCGCCAAUUACUACAAAUGCAAUCUCUUCAAUCACUGGAUUCCGGUGAAUUACUUUCAUAA